This 649-nucleotide ribosomal RNA is filed under the name uncultured bacterium. Its description in RNAcentral is "bacterial SSU rRNA". It matches the Rfam family "Bacterial small subunit ribosomal RNA", at positions 43 to 738 of the family's 1533-position model. The record is from RNAcentral.
CAGGCCUAACACAUGCAAGUCGAACGCUGUAUUUAUACAGAGUGGCGCACGGGUGAGUAACACGUGGGAAUCUGCCCUUCUCUGCGGGACAACAGUUGGAAACGACUGCUAAUACCGCAUACGCCCUUCGGGGGAAAGGUCCGCCGGAGAAGGAGGAGCCCGCGUCUGAUUAGCUUGUUGGUGGGGUAAUGGCCUACCAAGGCGACGAUCAGUAGCUGGUCUGAGAGGAUGAUCAGCCACACUGGGACUGAGACACAGCCCAGACUCCUACGGGAGGCAGCAGUGGGGAAUAUUGGACAAUGGAGGAAACUCUGAUCCAGCAAUGCCGCGUGUGUGAUGAAGGCCCUAGGGUUGUAAAGCACUUUCAUUGGUGAAGAUGAUGACGGUAACCAAAGAAGAAGCCCCGGCUAACUUCGUGCCAGCAGCCGCGGUAAUACGAAGGGGGCGAGCGUUGUUCGGAAUUACUGGGCGUAAAGGGAGCGCAGGCGGUUCAAUUAGUUAGGCGUGAAAGCCCCGGGCUCAACCUGGGAACUGCGCUUAAUACUGUUGAGCUAGAAUACAGAAGAGGAUAGUGGAAAUCCCAGUGUAGAGGUGAAAUUCGUAGAUAUUGGGAAGAACACCGGUGGCGAAAGCGGCUAUCUGGUCUGUU